Molecule: ribosomal RNA, 586 nt
Filed under: uncultured bacterium
Lineage: Bacteria
Description: bacterial SSU rRNA
Rfam family: Bacterial small subunit ribosomal RNA
Source: RNAcentral
CCUACGGGAGGCAGCAGUGGGGAAUAUUGCGCAAUGGGGGAAACCCUGACGCAGCAACGCCGCGUGAGUGAGGAAGGACUUCGGUCUGUAAAGCUCUGUUAACGUGGAAAAAUGGUAGUUGGUCUAAUAGGCCGAUUAUUUGAUGGUACACAUAGAGGAAGCACCGGCUAACUUCGUGCCAGCAGCCGCGGUAAUACGAAGGGUGCAAGCGUUGUUCGGAUUUAUUGGGCGUAAAGCGCGCGUAGGCGGACCUGCAAGUCAGAUGUGAAAUCUCGGGGCUCAACCUCGAAACUGCGUCUGAAACUACAGGUCUAGAAUCUUGGAGGGGGAAGGGGAAUUUCUCAUGUAGGGGUAAAAUCCGUAGAUAUGAGAAGGAACACCAGAGGCGAAGGCGCCUUCCUGGACAAGUAUUGACGCUGAGGCGCGAAAGCGUGGGGAUCAAACAGGAUUAGAUACCCUGGUAGUCCACGCUGUAAACGAUGAAUACUAGAUAUUGCGGGAUUUGACCCCAGCAGUGUCGUAGCUAACGCGUUAAGUAUUCCGCCUGGGAAGUACGGUCGCAAGCUAAAACUUAAUGAAUUGACGG